Long non-coding RNA from Corvus hawaiiensis (hawaiian crow), 19352 nucleotides. RefSeq lists it as uncharacterized. The transcript is spliced from 5 exons. NCBI's taxonomy places the organism in Eukaryota, Metazoa, Chordata, Aves, Passeriformes, Corvidae. The record is from RefSeq and is a predicted model, not a curated record.
UUCCUCUUCGGCAUCGCUCCGGUGAACGCGGGCUGUGCCAGCCGGCCGCCCAGAUAGGUUGCGUGGCAGCCACGGCGCGAGCGAAUAGAACUCCUUGGAUGCAUCGGAAGUAAGUGCCAGGAGCAUUUGGUGAUCUCUGUGGGAGGAAGGCACAAGCCACCCAGGCCCUGUUCCCUCCAUCUUGAGCCUUCUGUGGUGAUUUGCAGCAGCAAGGGAAGUAUGAAGCACUGAGGGACAGAAGUCAGUUUUUAAACCUGACUUCACUUCAGCAUAAACGACCACGCAAGUUUCAGAUCAACAGAGGACCAGGGGUAGAAUAGCAGAAGUACUUAAGGUGCCUCUUUUAAAAGUUCUCUUUUGCAUAUCUAAAGAUUAGGGAGCUGUUUAGAAAAGAUGGUUAUACAAGUGUUUUUAUUUACUGUCCUAACAGAAGAUGAUGAUCCACAUUAUCUUACAUACAUCUUGGAUGCAUCUGUAUCAGCCUACCGAUUUCAGGGGAGCUGUAUUGAUUUAAGUUAGUAAAGAAACCCAGUGGAGUUUUAAAUAAUUGGAAUAAUAUUCUCCCUCUCUUUCAGUCAGAUUUGCCCUUCAUGUUACUUGUGUUUCAUAAUCCUCCUAGCUCUCCAUUUCGUCAUUACAAGGCCAGCAUUUCUACUGUAAAAAAAAAAAAAAAGAGGACCAACCCCCCUUCCCCCCCCCCCAAAAAAAACGAAGUCUUUUUACAAUCUGCUAUUUAUAUCAAUGUUUAAAUAAAUUUAGGGCACAAACUGAUCCUGUUUUUUUAAUAGGCCUAUUUAGUUUCAUUUACUUACCCAGGUAUUUUUUAGAACCAGAAGCUCUCAGGAAGAGAAUGUGUUCGAUGCAUCAGAACCCUUUAGGGUUUUGAUAAAAGACAUGAUACCAUGAGUAUCAUCUCCACUUCUGUUAUUCUUGUUAUAUAGUAAUGACAAGAUUGAAUCACCAUUUUUAGCUAUUCUUCAGCAGAACUCGUAAUCUAUCAAUGUGUCAGCUCAACAGCAGUUUUUUCUUCACACUAAUGUGAACCAGAAGGUCCAGCUAUCACUGAUUUUGACAAUUUUAUUUUAUCUGAGAUUGCAUGUAUUGCAGAAGUUUGAAGCAGAUGAAUUAUAGGGCCUAUUAUAUUUUCCUAAAGAUGUACAAAACUUAGAAAACAUCACCUAAAAUAUUCCGAACUAAUUUGUACCAGAUAACAUUCCUAUGCUUGGUGUUUCAUAAGCCUUACGCUAGAAGCACUAUUAAAUAUUCGUGUGAUAAAUACCAAGAAUAAGAUCAAAUGUGGGUCCCGUAGUUUUUUGAAUGCCUCACAUUGCCCUCUCUGUUGUUACAUAAUGCAUCAUAAAGAAAUACGUGCCUUCAUUCUCUUUAAAUCACUCUGGCAUGGAUAGUAUUAAGCCUUCCUUCAAGUCCUCGUUAUGCAAGUCCUUCCUACUGCUAAUAGCUGUCAGCUCUGCAUGGUUACUUAAAAAACAAGGUAACUGCAGACUUUUUGUGAAGCUCCUUGCAUCCCUGGAAUUUUCAGUGAGGUAGUUACAGGUGUAUUGCUCUCUUUCUCAGCUAUAAACUAAAUUAUUACGAACAAACAGGUUUUCCCCCAUUAGAAUAAAGUCCCAUUCAUUCCAGUACAUCAAAAGGUAACCUGUUCUUUUGUUUAGUUGCCUCUAUAAGCACAUUAUGAGUAUCUGAAUGCACUUCAGUGUCAAAACAGUGGAAUAGACCAGAAUGCAGUAAUAUUUUGAACCUCUGUUGGAGAAUGCAGGCAUGUAACUAAGUACUGAAAAAAUACAUAGCACAGUAAAAAAUCCAUGACCAAUCUAGCAAAGCUAUUAGGUAACAAAAAAUCCAUAUGGGCAUUAAGUACUAUUAUUUAAAGUAAAAUCUGUGUUAUACAGUAUAAGCAGCAUUCAAGUGAAAUGGAUGAGACAUCUAUAUAGAACAGAAAGAAUAAUUUUUUAAAGCUAUGAUACGACGUUCUGUAUUGCUUUACUUGGAAAGUGGAAUUUUACUUGUCAUUUUGUAAAGGUAUAAAAUUAACAACAAGCACUUCAGAGAAUUAGAAACACUGCCUGAUUCGUGGGGGUUUUUUUCCCCUCUGUAAAACACAGAGAUCAUUGGUGGCAAAAAAUCAGGAAAAACCUGUCUACGUUUUCCAGUAUCAUGUAGAUCUUUUCGAGUACCCUGUCCUUUAAGAUGGCCUUGGUUUUAAAGAGACUGAAAUAGGAAUAUCUCAAAAUCCAUCAUACCGACCAUACAUAAAAAAAUUUUGCUCUUCCUUUUUACUUGUAGAAUAUGCAAGUAGUAACCAGGAAAGGAGGGUUUGUUUCAUAUUUGGUUAGUAGAUCUAUUAGUUUAACAAUGCUUUAUUGCAUUCCUACAUUUUUUUACCUUUUUGUUGCUUUUGUAAAUUUGAGGUACUAGCUUUUAUUUCCACUUUCCCACUUCUAAUUUUUUUAAAAGGUGCAACUAUAAUCUGUUCAGAUUUUGGUAUGGCACAUGGAAAAAAUAUUUUUUUUAAUUCCUCUUGCAAGCAGUAGGUUGGUGGGAGGAGGUCUGCACUGUAAAAUGGUGUACCUAGGAAAUUGUACUUCAGUGGGAGAUUAAAUAAGAAAGAGCAGGAUGGCUGAGACAAGUCAUUUGUCACAGAUGUUCAUGCAGUUCUGGUGUUUAAUUUUAAGCUGGAUUCAUCAAAUGUGCUAAGGAGUAAUUUCUGUCUGAUACAAAGUUCUCAUCAAAGGAGACUAAGUGGUUUAAGUUUAAAGCGUGGUUUGAAAAUACAAGGAAAUGUUACUGGGCUGGUGACAGUUUGAUUCGGUAGCCAAAGUGGACACAAGGAUGUAAAUUGAAGAAUGCUAUUUUUGGCCUAAAAUAUAUCAGGAAAAUACAUCAUUAAUAUAUUACUGUGGAGCAGUGACUUUACCUACAAGAUGGUUUUGUCUAUGAAGCACAAAGAUUUUACCGCAGGUGUCUGAGUUAUGUAGAUUAUAAAGGGUACCGUUACCGUCGGAAAGCAAGCAUGAAAUGGUGAUGUGUGGACCUCAGAUAUUUGAGCAACAUUUACUGACCACUUUUACAGUAUUUGGCAAGUUUAUAACAUAGGUUUAGUAUUAGUUUUAUUUAGUGAAAAUGGAGGAGGUAAGCACUAGUGUAAUAUUGAUUUCGGGUUUUUUAGAUAGGCCAAUUAUCAUAUUUAGCAAAGUACAGUAUGAAUGAGAAGGCCCAAGACUAAGAUUACUUUAAAAGGGAGAUUUCUUUAAAAAUCAGUAUUGGACUUAUUCUUAGUUUUUAUUAGUUGUUCUCUCUUUUAAUAUGAUUUUUUCUUUCGUUAAGUUCUGUCUCUCUUCCUUCAGAAAUACUUCAGAAAAUGUGUCCCAGCCCCGAAAGGGAGAAAUAUAAUGGCUACAAUUAGCUUCCGUUUACUGGAGCAAAAUGAUUUUUUCCAAACUGAAAUACAUGCGUUAAUUUGCUAGACUUCCAGCUAUUUUUAUGUAUGGUAUUUCUGAGAAGGAGAUCGUAAUGUCCAUUUUAAUGCAGCUUACUACAGUGUAGCAGCCAUAAUCGAGUGUUUUUCUCUUUGAUAGUCAGAUAUAUAGAAUUGUCAGGCUGUUUGCUUUUAAGUACCUGAACAGUGAAUCAAAAAGAAGUAUUUUUGAUACGAUAACUUUGGCUUUCCAGUCUGUGCUUUCUUUUGAGUUUUCUAGGUAAAUGCUGCGCAGAUUGAUUAUCAGAAAAAUUGAGGCUUACGUAAUCGGGACAUACAUUUUUCUACUGCCUCCCUUCCCCCACUUAGCUUUCAUUUUACUAUGAAAAAUGAAAAACUUUGGAAAGAAAAUUACUAUGACAUACUGGUUAUACACAUAUUUUCAUGGAACUGCGCAGCUAAGCUAUUUGUAUGUAUUUAGUAAAAGAAAGCAGCAAGCAAACUAUUAAAACCUUGAGACGGCUAAGCUUUAAAAUUAUAGUAGUCAUUAAAUACAGCUUUAUCUAAUAUGCUGUACCUAGUUGUGUAGCAAUGAGUCUUUUUUCUUUGCAUAGGGACUUAGACUACUUCUAUGUAGUUUUUAUUCAGAGUAAGAAAAAUAAGAACGUCGUACCCCAUUUUUUUAUUCAUCGUAAGGCUGAUGCUCCUUUGUAAGGGAGUUGGUUUAAUACCUGACUUUCAGAUCAUGAGCAGUGAUUGUUGUUGACAAAAUAUAAGCAAAUGAAUCAGAACUCUGUCCUGGUAGAUAAUUACAAAUUAAAUUAACUAACAAGAAUAAUAUUAAAAUUUUAUCUAAAUAUGUUAACAUGAGCUCUUACCCAUAGGUGGCAGUCAUCUUUCACUGUAGCAGGGAUGCCAAACUUUUGGUUCGUGGUAUUCACGCUUAUGCUGAAAUAAUUUUGAUGAGGCAUGCAUAUGGACAUAAGAAUAUACAUGUCUGCAUUUUGGGAGAGGGGGAAGGAGGUAAAAUUAACCAUAAAAUUAGUUAGUAAUUACAAGGAAUCUGAAUUGCUGUGUAUAGGCAAUAAGACAAGGAAUUACCGUAUUCUGGAGAAAUACUGGAGGUAUUUUUAAAACCACAGAAACACAUUUUUUAUCGAUCCAUUGCUGACACUCAUCAAAACUAAGUAGUGAUAAUUCAGAAAGCAGUAGUUAGCCCUACAAAUUGAGCAGAAAGGCAAGUAUCUUGCCAGCCUUAGUGAACACAACCCCAUAUCGUGCCCAGUCCUCCAAAGCACAUUUCUCUUUCGUCACCCUUUAUCUGUAAAUUACAGGAGCACGACAGCAAUGAUGUUGCCCUGGAAAUCCUGGCAAUAAGGUCCCUUAAAUAAUGGGCAAAUACAGAAAAAGUGCUCUGGGUGAGGGUGUCCUUUCAGUGAUGGAGAGCAAGCAAAACCUGCAGGCUGCUGUGCCAUCCUCUGUCUCUUUGCAGGGCUGCCAUCGACACCCAUGGCAGCACUGUGCAAGGGGAGGACGCUGCCUGCCCGAACAGAGAUCUGCUCAGUUUUGCCAUCAGCUUUUUUAGGGAUUUAUGUGGUUUAUGGGGAUUUCCUUUUGCAAUACCACUAAGGAGGCACUUGGGUCCACCAAAACUGGAGGGGAUAGAAGGACCUAAUAAGGCCAGGUCAUUUCAGGCUAAAACAAACAGAACUUGUGAAACUGCAUGUGUCAUAGUGAGAUGAUAACAUUCUUCUGAGAAAAGAAGACCGAAACCUGAAAUUCAUGAGUAGGUGAAGUCAUAGUCCUUUUUUCUAUUACAGCUGCACUGGAACUCUUUUCAGUUAACAUUAAUCUAAUAUUGUGUCAAGGUAGGCCACUGUACACAUUCAGCGGAGGUCAGGAACUAGCAUUUUACAAAACAGAAAAUUGGAAAAAUAGACAAUUAUGUGUUGCUGUUACAGUGUUUCACUGUGAUGCAAGAUUAAGGGCUCAGAAUUGAGCAGAAUGGUGCAGUAUUAUUAAAACAGAAGGACUAAUUCUCCUUAUGCAAGAGUCGCAGCAACACACAUCAUUGUAUAAGCCAAAGCAGGCAGUACGAUUUCAUAGUCACACAGGGUAUUUCCACAGACAGACAACCACGACGUGACUAAUUAGAUAUUUGCAUAUGCAUGGCCCCAUUUGCUCCCCAGUUGUAAUAAUUAGGGGUAUUGCACUCCACAUUAAUUUACACUCUUGUGUAACACUACUGAAUAUAAGAUAGUGGGUGGUGAUAAACUGGCUGGUGACAAAUGUGUAAAUUGGAUACGUGUUUUGAAAAUCAGAGCUUUCAUAGCCAGCUUUGUCCUUGACAGAGUGGGCAGCAGGGCUGGAGAAGACCUGCUCUGCUGUGGGGCCCGAUCCUCUCUAUCGCAGGCAGCCGUGUGGCACUCUUCAACUUAACAUGCAGAGACACUGGACUCCAUCUUGAAGCUACCCCCGCCAUCAGCUUGCCUCUGUUUUUCCAUUCCUCUGCAUGGUUAAAGAUUUCAGAUCAUGUGUAUCUUGACCAGCUGAACCUCUCACGUUCUGCAAGGUCUUUGACUUCAGUUUAAAGAGCUUUUCUCUCACCCAAUAUAAAGUCCGUUCCGGUCUGUCCUCCCUUGAGUUAGAACCUGCUUGGCCUCAGUUCAGCCAAACCAGCUGUGCUGUACCUGUCGUAGAGAACGGUGCUUUUCCCUGACCGUUCUUCUAACCCUCCUUUGCACCUCCACUUCCAGUAAAUCUCUUUUAAUCUGCGGGGUUAGAAGUAAGCACAGUGCUCCAGAUGAGAUGUUGCCAGAGCCUCUUAUGGUGGCAUUAAUACCUUCCUAUGCCUAGAGCUACCUGCUAUCGGUAUCUCAAAAGCCUUGAGGAUUGACUGAAACACCCAAUUUACCCUUUUUUUAUGGAUACUGGCAGCAAAACUUCUUCAUUCCUAGCUUGUGACCUUGACCUUUGCACUAUCGUACUGGUAUUGCAUGACAAGGGUGUCAAAAGGCUUUUUUAUGAAAGGGUGUCAUUGCUUUCAUCAAAGUCACAGGCUUCCUCUGAAUUUCCCGGCAUGUCCAGAUUUGUUUGGGAAUCUCUCCGCUCUGCACGAGUACGGACGUGAGCUGGCACACACACACGACACAGCACAGAGCACUGCAGGUGAGCUAGCUUGGCUCAUGAAACAGAGUUGUCUCUAGGAUUAGGUUACCUCAGGCAUAUCCCAGUGUGUUAGCUCAGGUAAGCCUUCCAGAAUUUGUACAGCACUUCUGACUCGCUGUCCUGCACUGGCUUCGUUUGACAGCUCUGGGAGCAAGAGACCAAAUUCUGAAAUAUUUUUACAGGAUCAACAGAGGAGAUGGGCUUAGUGUCACAUUAUAUUGUUUCUAUUGAUCUUAUAGGUUAAUCUCCAGUUUACAGGUGAUGCCCGUGAAAUUGAAGGGGAAACAGAUGUACAAGACUUGUGUGGUGCUCUUGAAUAACAUCUAAAAAUGAGAAUUAAUUUUUUUAAAAUACAAGAACCUGGAGGAUUUUGGUCAUUUUAUUUGUGGAAGUUAACUAACAUUAUGACUGUCUCUAAUUAAACAAGCAAAAAUCUGUUUUCCUUUUUUUUUUUUUUUUGCCUUCACUUGGAACUUGCUAUAUGGCAGUUUUAUUGUGACAUUUUUAUAUAGCAAUUUUAUUUGAUAUGUUUUACUUCUGUGCCUGCAGGACAGCUAAGAAACUUGACCACUUGGUUUCUCUUUAUAGUGAAAAUACCAUACUGAAGAAUUUAUUCUUAAGUUUGGUAUAGACCAGGGUACUGAGUCAAGCUCAUCAUGUAAAAUGACUCUCAUGCCCAUUGUUAUACAAUAUUCCAGCCCCAUUUUGGGCAGGCACUACCCCAGCUUGUAUCCUCAGCUGAUCAUUCCUAGUUUAAGGUAGUCAGUGACAAUAACUAGAAGGACCUGUCUGAGAUCAUUCUUUAAGGAAGCCCACUAUCAACUUUCUUCUAGCUUGAGACUUUCCAAACUACUUUGCAAGCUUUUAUUCAUACUAAGAGUUAAUUUAGCAACUGCUGUCUUCCGCAGUUUAUUUUUUUUUCAAGUAGCAUACUAACAAAUGUUUUCCUGAAAUCCAGUCAGAUUAGGUCAACUCACUUCCUUGAUGUAGAUAGUAGGGUUUGGUGGGUUUUUGUAAAUGUCUGGCUAGUGUGCCAUAACCUAUUAUUAGGAAAGCUUUGUAGUGUUUUUCUUAUUUUCUAUUUACCCAAUUUUAUCCCACGCUUCCUUGCAUCCAAAUUCUUGAUGGGCAGUCCCAAUUGUUCCUUCUGUUAAACUCUCAUUACUUCUGAAAUCUUAGUUGAGGUGACUGCUCUUGUGCUUGGAUUCAAGGACCAAGUUUUCCCACACAGAAAUUAAGAAGCCCAGAACAAAACUUAAGUUUUUUGGCCAUUUCACCUCCAUCUAAAGGAGUCACAGAGAAGCUCACUCACAGAGAUAGUAGUGAAACAUGGAUUUUCUUGGAGUCUUCAGCACGUAGCUGAGAAGACCAUAGACAUAAGAGCCUCUAAAUCCUGCAAUUUACUCCUCCAGGACUUUCACGCUUCACUUCUAGUCCAGCCCAGGGCUGAUCAUAUCUUGGAGGUUUUAUAAAGUCUUAAAAAGCACGUGAACAUACCUAAACAACUUGGUCAUGGUUGCUACAAGUUAAAAAGCAUCCUUUGAAAACCUGAAAUUAUACCCAAAUGAAGAAAUCAGAAAAGAACAUUCAUCUGGCCUGUUACAUAUAUAACCCCCCUAUUAACUGUAUCAAAAAAGUACUUUGAAGAAAACCAGCAUGACAGGGGAAGAAGCAGGCAGCUCUUGCAAAGGGAGGGGAUGCCUCACAAAUCCCUGUCUAUGGGGUGGGGAGAUCUGGUCGACACACUUAAAAGGAAUUAAAGAAAGACAUUUGACACCUUUUAGCAGAGGCUCUCAAAAACGUUAAGCUGCAUGGGCAAAGAGGCAGCUUCUCACGUGGACAAUGAUCACAUGAAAGAGAGGAAGCAAAGGUCAGAAACAAAUGAUCACUUUUUGUGGUGAUGGGAGUUGAGUAGCAGAGCCCCUCCACCAGCAUGUUCAGAAAUGUUGUGUGAAGGAGCAAGAACAAAAGUUGCAGAGAUUAAUGUGAGCAUGAAGGGAGGAUGAGGGAAGAGGCCAUGAAGCUGAGUGACUGAGCAAGAAAACAGCAGAUGAGCUUUGCUGUGGAUAAAUGCCCUGUGAGACGCAGAGGGUCUUGGCUGGCUCCGACCCCUCCAGAGCAGCAUCAUGGGGCUCUAAUAAAUGCUGCCACAAAAACAUCAAUGCACAGCUUGGCAGUGGUUCAAAAAGCAAGCAAAAUGUUAGGAAUUGCAAAGAAAGGGACAGGGAACAAAGUUCUUAAAAAAAAUAAAAUCUCCUUAUUAUGGUGCUGCGUGAAACUCUUCUACCACUUUCCAAGUGUUGCACAUGUUUCUUUGGUCUGUCUGCCUUUAGCGUAAAGGCAUGGCAACGCGUGUGUUUAAAAAACAUUGCAAAAUCAAAGCUAGGAAGCCAAUAUCAGACAAACAAAACCCACUGCACUAAAGGAAAACAACAGUUUGCUUCGCAGGCUUCUCCCCCACCUUCAGAAAAGCCAGAUGGAAAAGUAUCCAACAUAAGAGGAGAUAGCUGUGGCACUACUGGAAUGCUAAGGGGUGAUGAGAGUAAGUAUGUAGAAUAGUCUGGUCAUAGUUUGACCCUCAUUUGCACCUUUCUUCCCCUCUUCUAUCCUCACAGAUCAAAUCUACUAAUAAUGGUAAAGCAGUUGUUCAAUGUCAUGCUAAAAAUCAUUGAUAAGCAAGAGAGAGCAUUGGAUCCAUUAACCUGUAGUUGGACAGGAAGGGCAUAGUUUUUUGGAGGGCUUUUGUUCUCAGUCUUCAGCAGCCUUCCCUGUCACUGCUGCUGAGGGACACGAGGAAAACUGUAGGUGAGGAGAAGCGGGGUUGGAUGCACUUGGCAGCUCCUCCACAAGGUAUGGAGGGUGAUUGCAGGAACUGGUGUUAAGCCAAGGGUUCUGCCAUAUGCAUGAUGGAUAGUAACAUUUUUCACUGCUGUAAGGCAGCAGCAAAUAUUUUUAAGUGUGGUGAUCAGUUUUGUUGUCUACCAUCUAAUUGAACAUCAGUAAAUAUGUUAUUAAGGUAGUGUGCUUGACAGUGUGCUCUUUUGCAAUCAAGGCCAAGAUGUAGCCAGAUACUCAUCUUAAUCUCUUGAGACACAUUUCUAAUGAAUUUUUACAGUGCCCAGAGGUAAGGUCCCUGGUCUGAAGUGGGACACCUGGAUGCUAAAAGCAAAUUAUAAUUAAUAAUAUAUUGUUUAUGAUGUCAGAGUGUCAUCUAAAGACAGUGGUAAAACCUUGUAUAGGCUACUGCUGGAAUCCUAUUAAUAAAAUUGCUUACUUUAAAUCACUCCCAGGGCGUAAGAUAGGAUGUUCCUUUGUUGACAGUACUUUUUCUUGAAUAUUUAUAUUUAUGGUCUAUCAAGGAACCACCCAGUACUGAGAGAAGCAGUAUUUUGAAAUAACUCCAUUGUAUUGCAAUGUCUUUGUUAUCAUUCUGUCCUGUGAAGAUAUGGAUAAACUUCCUUUCUGCUUACCAGAAAUAUGGCAGAAGGUUGAGGCUCUGUACCCACUGCAAAAUGCAGGUAGGGAGGAAAGCUAUACCUUCUUAAGAUAAGUAUAUACUGUCUCCUUGAUUACUCAGUCUGCUAUGAGUAAUCAGUCCUCAUUUCUACAAUGGCAACUUUUUGAUCUUCUUUUUUCUGCUGCACUGGAGAAACAUUUUAACUCCAGUUUUUUGGAAUAAAAUUUAUAAAUUUUACUCAAAAAGUGUGCUGAAUUCUACCAUAUACGAAAUUAAAUCAUUGCAGUGAUUGCUGCAGAAAUGGAUUCUAGUUCUGAUUUAAAUUCACAUUUCUAGUCAACAUAAUUUUACUGCAAGAGGAUUUUGUUUUCCUUUUACCCCUAGGUUUUCUUAUUAUUUUUGAACCAUUGAGAGAGGAAGGAUAGAAUCCUAGAUCCAUUGCAGUGCUGGAAAAUAUGCAGAGAACUACACUGAAAUGAGAGCUCAAGGUGUUCAGAGCUCAAACAAAAGCAAUUUGGGUACUGUAGUUGGUUUUGAGCAGUCUUCUCAACAUUUUAGUUCCAAAAACUACAGAACCAAUUGAAAAAAAAAAAAAUCAAUUUAUCACCUUGUGCAGUAGCCACAAAUGAUUUCAGUAAUAGUAAUAAUAAAGACUGAACCAUGAAUUUUAGUGGUCUGCUUUUUUUUUUUUUCAAUUAUAUACUUUUUUACCGUUGUUAGUUGACUCUUACAUGUGUGAAAGUAUAUGUUUGUUUUAGUUUGGGAUGCACUGUGGUAUUGCUUCUGAAAAAAAAUAUGUGCAACAGUUUUGCAGGCAAUUAUCUAAUAUUUCACAAUCUCGAAACAGCUCCUGGAUGGCAGACCUGAAUUAGAAGACAUAAAAAUUGCCUUCAUUAAGGUAUUUAUCAGAAAGACUGAAGUAACAUAUGAUGGAAUAAUUUUUAGCAAAUCCUUAUUACCAGAUAUGAAGUAAAUUUUCCAUUAAUUAAUUAGUACAGUCUUUGGACAUUCAUCCUUGAUCUAUAGAUUAUAGAUUUUUAGGAGACAGCACAAUGUGAAACCUUUAUUGUUGUAAUCACAUGGCAAAAAAUAAAAGGCAAUAACACGGCAGAAAAACCCCACAGCUGUAAUCAAGGUGGUAACAGGACAAGUUCUAUCUGAGCUGGGAACACCCAGAAGAGCACAUCUUCUGUGCCAUAAGUGCAGGCAGAGGUCAAAUACAUAAAAGCAGUUGCUGAACUAAAGCACACGGACCUCCUAAAAAAAUGGGGUGAUCACCUAUCAUAGAAUCAUAGAAUGGGUCAGGGUGAAAAGGACCUUAGAUAGUAUCUAGUUCCAGCUUCCCUAGCUUCCAGGCUAUGCCACCAUCCUUCCCAGAAGGCUCUCUCAGAAGUUGUCCACUGUCACCAAGCAAGCCAGCAGCAGAGCAGGACUCUUGUCCCCCCAGCCCUGUCCCACCAGCCAGGAGCAGAUUGAGUGCCUGGUGCUUUUGCCCAGGUGAGGGUGGGUGAGCACAAUACAACUUCAAACUGAGCAGUGCAAGCUGUAAGAAAAGCACUUGUGAUGUCCCUGUUCUGUCACCCUAAUGAAACUCGCAACUGCAAAAUCUGGAGGCCUGAUUUGAACCUUUUUAACCCUGGGGCAUGGCCAUAGAGAUAAAAGCACAGAGUGGCAGAGUAUAGUAAUCUUCAGAAUGUGUGGCAUCAUUAUAUUCAGACGCUGUGUAAGUCUGAUACAAUAGCUCCUACUGCAUCUUAUUUGAACUUGAACUAUACCUUAUUUAGGGCAGAGAAACAUUUUCAAAAUUGCCUGGACAUCAUAGAAUUUUUUAAAGGUAUAAUUUUCAGCUUUUCCAUUGAUCUUUUUUUUUUCAAGUCUCUAGUCCACUUUCAUCUAUUUGACUGCAUCAUAGGGAUAGCUGUAUUUGCCUGCUAGCGUGAAAUGCUGGAGGGUCCUUCAAUUUUUGUAGUUUCAGAUUGUGGUUUAUCUUGCCAAAAAAUCUGGGUAUGGGGAUGAAUACAAAUGUAUCUUGUUCAUCAUAUUUGCCUUCUGCUCAGGGAUACAAGGAAGCUUUCACUGGAUGCAGAACAUACUGUAUUAAUUUCUUAGAUUUGGUUUUGCAUGUGGUACAAGUAUUUGUUUUGCUGGAUUCUCAAAACUUCUGGAGAAAAGAAAAGCAAUGUUUCCAUGUAAAUGUCUUUCCAAAAAACAAGCAAACAAACUGAAGAGCCAAGAUCUCCAUCGCGGCGCUGCUCAGCUGACCUCAGCCACUUUGCACGAGGAGGGAGCGUAGCCUGUAUCUGCUGUAGCUGUAUCACUGCAAAUGAAAAGCAAAGGCAGUAUUUCCUCCUACCAGGGUUUUGUCAGAAAGGGAGGUCUGCUUUCUGUACACACACUAGCAGUGCCUGAGGGAUGGGGCAAGUUUUAUUUCCUGGUGACAUGUAUGAAACGCCCUUUAAGUGCAAGAAAAUCGGGUAAGUUUGGAAGAAAAAAGACUAAGAGUAAAGCAGGGAGUAUUAACUACAAAUGAAGGGGACGGUCCUUAAGAGGAUCAUUUUCUGCUCUUAAAUCUGGUGCCCGUAUUAAAAUUUCUCCCAGCAGCAUGUGCAUGACUGAUACUUAUUCAGCUGAUAGCGCAAAGCAACAGUGACCCUGGCACCAAUGCCGAGGCAAUAUUUACAAAAGGAUGAACUAUUUUCGAACAAUGUCUUCAAUGUACUAAGCACAAACAAGCUUUUCUUCAGCAUCAGGCAUGCAUGUUGUCUCGUUCCAACGAUUUUGUUCAUGUACAAAUGUAUUCAUUGUGGACAAUGCAAGGAAAAUGUCAUUCUCCAUUUAUAUCCCAGUUUCCCUUUGUCCUCUUUACAGUAUCUUGGGGCAGUGAUGCAGAGCAGAGUCUUGUUCUGAACUCCUGCUAUUUUCCUCUCCAUCUUCUUCCGAAGCACUCAGAGAAGCAGAGCCUCAGUGAGUUAAAAGGCUCCCUACAGCAGAUUUUUUUUUUUCUUUUGAGACACAAAAAUCGGUCUCUCUCCCUCCACUUCCCAGCAGAGAAGAUCUAAGUCCUGCCUCUUGCUCCAUCACUCAGAGCGCAUAAUGGUCUUGGCAGCAGAGGAUGUGGUGGUAGCAGCGUUUUGAGCCAUGUAAGUGGGUGCACCUGGCACAGCAGUGUGAAUAAGCAAUGUUAAGGCAAUUCUCUCCCAGCAAUAUAUGAAACCAUCCACUUCAUGAACAGCCUCUCUGUGAUAAAGGCUGCCUUUCUGUUGACUUGGAUAAGUUCCCCAGUAUGAUCAAAACAGAAUAAUGGAGGACUUUGAAAGAAGGGCCCUUGUACAGAAAAUAAUUAAUCUUGCAGCAGAGGGGCAGGGAGAAAGAUUUAGUGACACUUGAAAACAAAAAACAAAUCCCCAAGUCCUAGGACUAAACUAAAAAGCACAAGUGCAGGCUCACACUGUGUUUUCAUUGUAGAACAAAUCGUCUGUCCUGAAAGCAUCGUUCUUGGGCAGGUUGGACACCAUUUCAGGUAGGAAUUGGGAACAUUAUUUUAAAGGGCAUUUCAGGGAAAUUCUAUUUUGCCUUUCAAGCAUCAUCUGAUUUUCUUCAAGGUGGAAAUGUCCCCUGCUCUCAACUGCGGCAUUCCACUCUGACAAGACAGAACUUCAACCCAUUGGAGAGGAAAUGAAUGAAGAAGUCCAUGUGGACCAACAGGAGUAGUAGGCACUGACACUGAAUGACAUCUUGGGAUAGCAUUGAAUGUACAUUCAAAAGAAAAGUGAUGAGGCCAUUUAAUCAAUAAAUGUAAUUGCAAUUUUUGUCCUUUAAUCUUUUGAUAACAACUCUUUGUGCCUGAGACACAGAACCAGUCACUCUAGGUCACUCUUGGUCACAGGUGGGAUAGUUCUAGCACCUGAAAACCCACAGGAGCCAUGCUAAAAGAAACAGACUUGGAAGAUUGAUCUGCGGCUUAAAAAACCAAACUAUUUCCACUUAUACAGGCUCAUGGAUUCUGGAAUAAAUAAGACUUGCGUCCUUCUCGACUCCUCUGGGGACUGUGUACGUGGAAUGGUGCAUUCCCUAAGUUACGGCAAAAUGGAGAGCCCAGCUCUGUACCAGGGAGCCCACCUCGACCUGCUCUGCCACAGAUCUCCCCUUUUUGUAUCCUUAAAUGUUCCAUCGAUUGAUAAUUUCAAGUGAGAAACUCGCAUUCCAGAGAUGUCUCCGUGCAAGUACAUUUAAAACACCAGGCAAUUUAAGUUCGCUACAGUGCAAUGGUUUGGGGCAAUAAAGACGAAAGGUUUUUGUUAGUAUAUUGAAGUUGUUACAGAAUAAAGCUUGGUUAUAACACAAUCCGAGAUGUCUUGCGGGUUCUGUUAUGCCUUCUUACACAGUAAGUGAAUUAGCAAAAUGGCCUGUGACGAUUCCUCUUGAGCAUUUCUUCACUCUUCUUAAAGUGAUACCAAGAGGUCUCCUUGAAAUUUUUAAUUAUUUUCUAGCCCUCCAGUUGAAGGUAACAGAUUUAUUUAUUGUAACUGAUAAUAAUGAAAAGAUAAAUGAACUCUGAGCCUAGUUUUGAUUUUUUAAAAAAAGUGUUCCGAUCUGGAAGAAGUCUAGAUUCAAAUAAGUCUAGAAAAAUUAUGCUAGAAAUUGUGAAGUUAAAAAAAUUUAUUUCAGCAACAUAAAUCAUUUGGGUUGGAAGGGACCUCUGGAGCUCUCUGAUGGUACAACCCCCUGCUCAUAACUGGACCAGCUUUUACACUAGCUCAGGCUCCAUGGUGCCUUGUUCAACUGAGCUUGAAUAUAACUGAGUUGGGGGGUUUUAUGCAUUCUCUUACUCUAAUAACUUGCAAAAUUAGAAUUCAGUCUUAAUGUCUGAAACAAGGAUUGCCUGACAGUGUAGGAAUUUUGCUUCCAAUAGCAAAAUUUUGUUUGCCUUUGAAAUUCCUUGACACAUCUCAAUAGCAAAGAGAAAUUUAAAAAAUCACCAUUUAUAAUCCUGUAGAAAUAAAAGCAUAGAAAAAGUCAAAUCUCAUUAUUUUUAAGGCAAAAUUGAAGUUAUGAUGACAUUCUUAGCUGUGAAAAUUCAUACAUUUCUAAGUAUGAAUUUAGAUACAUGGAAAAGCUUCUAUGCAAAGUCAUUGGGAAAAAAACCUCAAACAAAAAUCCCUAAAAUAUAUUAAAUUUAUUGUGUACUUUCACAGGUUUUUAAUUUACAAUCUCACGUGUGUGUGGCAAAACUGAGUGCUAUUCAGUGGACUCGUUCUGAUGACUCAAAUCUGCUUUAGGAAGAGGACUACACAAAAGAAAGGUCUUUGCUGCUCUGCUGUUAACACACCUUUCCCAAAAAGAGGGGUGGGAAGGAAGGAGAGUUGAUCUGGGCACUAAUACUUCUUCUCCUCAGCUGGAAAUAGGUGCAACAUCAGAAUCAAGGUGGCAGCACACAACUCUGCUCAGAGAGAGAGUAAAUAACUAUUUUCUUCAUGCUGGAGGUGAGGAGUAAGCAUGGAGAAGGUGCAAGACUGACUCAGCAGCACCCACCACCAGCCCCCGGCCUGGCCCCCUGUGUCUGGGAUCCACAAUAAAUACACGUGUCCCAGGGAAGACAUAUGCAGGGUGGGUGUAGGAGCCAUUCUGUUUCUUGGGAGGUAACAGGGUUUGGUAAGGAAACUUGAGUCCAGUGCGGUGUCAGACUUGAUUGUGUGCUACUGGUUCAGCAACUUAGCAGCUGGCUGUCAAAACAAUAAUCCAGCAGCCUUUUUCCCAGGUGAGGGGGAAACAACAGGAAAUGCAAAGUGAUCUGCCAGAAAGUUUGCAGUGGACAUUUGGACAAAUGCAGGAGGUCCAGCCACUCUCAUUUGUGCUGUGAACACCUGGACAGCAAGGAGCUCUCGUGUACACCUGUUCCUUUUGCCUGCACUGUAUUUUGUUGCAUCCAGGGACACUAAGGGUGAGGAAAGAGCCACAUUCUUCUCUUAUGACUGCUUAUCCCGAUCCACAGCACCUCUCCACCGGCCUUCCCCAUGCCCCACACGUAUACACAGCCCCUAAAGCAAGCAUGUUAAGACUGGAAGUGUAAUCCAAGCUUGCAUUAUAAUUCUUCCUAUGUAGCUCAGUCAUUAGUUACUGUGGAGCAGUUAGGAACUAACAGGUCUAGCAGAGAGAGAUGGUGUUUUCUGGUGGCUUUUUCCAAGCUCCCAGGACAAUUUUGGCUGUUGUCCUGAGUGGCUCACAGCCCCGUCACGGUGUUAUCUGUCAGAAACUCAGCAGCCCAAAGCUCUGCAGCCACAGAGGCGUGUGCCCUGUGUUUAUACCAUUUCCUGCUGGAGCCAUGAUGUUAAAGGCCGUACUGUCCGCCUGUUUCUCACGCUCCUCCGGUGUGCGUGGCCCCAGUGUCCCAAAGAAUUGUCGGGUUGCAGAAGAAGCCAAGAGGCAAAGUUCAUCUUUUUGUUCUGAGGCAGCACACUGCCUGGCACAACUAUUCCUGGUCCCUGACUCAGAGCACAACCAUCUUUGAAAUAAAUAAAAUAAAGAAGGAGAACAUCUCUGGGCCUAUAUUUGACACUUGUAUUCCCAGACCACUUGGCUUUAUAUAAACAUACGAAUUGGUAUGGUGGUUAUUUUGACUCAUCUGCUUAGCAAUAAUUUUAUUUUAAUCAAUAUUUAUUUAACUCACCAGCUAGACAAAAGCUCCCUAAUUUUUUCAUCUUAUUUAAUUGAUGUUCCCUGACAGAAUGAAGCUAGGCUGGAUAAGACAGUACAAGCUGUGCCAGUCUUCUUUGGUUUGCAUCUCUUUUAACAAGUCCUGUGACUGUCGCAGAGCCAAGGCACAUCUUACAUCUCGCAGAGGAAUUGGGACCAUACGUGGCUGUAUACCCUGGGACAAGGAGCCACGAAACACGCCAAAACAAUAAGUGUUGACACAAUAAUUAGCAUAUUGAUUCUCCGUGCAAAUUACCUCUUCAUACAUUGUACAACACUUUGCAUUUUCAGAGGACUUCAGAGGAGCCUGGAGUUUCUUACAGGCACCACAAUAAUUAAAAACACGUCUUCAGUUGUAACAUUAAAAUACAAUUCUGGGUGAAAGAUCAUAGAAAGAAACAUGCACGUUGUGCAGAUAAAAAUGUGUGGGAUGCACCUACCUGAUACCCCCACCCCCAAACAUGCACCAUAAAUUAUAUUCCUGAAGGAGCUUUCAGGCCAUAGAUAUUUCAGGCCUUCUUAGAAGAACAUUUUGCUUUUUAUUUGAAGGAAAUUAUCUGUACCUUGUGUCACCUCAGCCUCAUGCCAAGGGUGAGGAGUGGCUGCAAGUUGAAGGAUUGAAUCACAAAGCUCAAUCUUAGCCCAGUACUCCACUUGCCUGGAAAGAAAGGUUCACUUUAGCAAAUGCUAAAACAGACUGGCUUUCAGAGGAACUAAUUUUUCAAGCUCAGUCACAAGUGCAGGGGGAAAAAUGAGCUCUCACAUUUAUGUCAGUGGAGUCCCACAGAAACUAUGACUGUGAAGUCAACACGUGAAAAAGCUUACAGGAGCAACCUGUAACUUGCUGCCCAGAUUGGUUCAUGCCCAGAUCUCUCUGCCAGCAUUUAAAGUCUUUGUAAAAUGCUGAAGUGUAAAGGGUAGCACUGUCUCUCAAGGCCAAAGUCAACUGAUAUUAGGAAUGGGUACAGUAAUUUUACAACCAUUAACAGCAUUAAUGACCCUGUAAGCCAAGACAGAAAGCUGCCAGAAAGACUCAGAACUGCCUCUGCAAUGAGGAAAAAUUGCCUUGCCUCCACAAGCAUACUGCACUGUUGUAAAAAUCAGCUAAAUAUCUCAACUGCAGGCUAAGAGGGCAGAGCUGUCUGCAGUGACAGAGACAGAUCCCAUCCAGAGACAAAUGUGACACCAUGAAGCACCCACCAGGACACCUAGAUUUGAAUGUAGGUCGAGAUACAUCAGAGCAGGGUGGUGAGUCCUACAAAGGGACCUCUUCAUCACUGCAAAGUUUUAGGAGCAGGUCACCAUCCUCUAAUGGAGGGUCCUGAGGUUCAUCGAGAAGACCAGAGCUCAUAGAUGGUGCCUUUCCCUCCGGCAAUGCCCUUUUUGUGCUCCUCACCUGUGUUGCCACCUGCUCACACUGCCACAGCCUCUUGAUGGAAAAAUACCAGCUGCCAGCACAUUCAAGUGCUUCAGGUAAGGCUUUGAGAAGGGGCUUGGAAAAGGUCUUGGAAAAGAUCCAGAUCCCACUCCUAAGGGCUCCAGGAGACAAAUGAAGAAAUCUCACCUUCUCCAAAGGCACUCAAGUCUGCUCAAGAUUUGUUCAAGCUUGAUGUUCUACACAAGCAAGUCAUACAAGGUCAGAUGCUCCCUGUACAGCAGCUCUUGAAACCAUUGCCUGGUUUUGGUCAAGCAUGGCAGGACCGAGGAUCUCUGUGAUCACCCAGCUCCUGGGAGUUUUCAUGCAAACGUUACCAUUUCCUGGUUUGCACAGGAAGGUAUGACCAGAGGAGUUAGGGGUGCUGGCAGAGGACAUGGAAGUGCAUAUGGAUUCACUGGAUGUCUGUUCCCCACAGCAGAGGAGCAACUGAUUACAGCUGGAAUCAUGGGACAUGCCUGCUCCAAGGCCAGAUCCUGGCUUCCAAGUGUGUACAUCCAGAAAUGAGGGGAGGUCCCAGCCCUGGGAGGUUGAGUGGCACCGUAUGAAAUAGCUUUCAUUCUGGUCGAAGUGCAAUCCAGCUCCUCCACUCUGUGCCCCAACAAGUCCUGGCUGUUGGCAAAAGCUGCCAUCCUUGAAAACUGCCCAUAAUUGCAGGCUUUCUGUGCUCAGAGGGAAAGGGGAGGGACUGGAUAAAAAAAACACCUCGAGUCUUUGAAACACAGAAAACAUGUCUGAGUCGGUUCAAUAGCCUUUCACAGACUCAAUAAAAGAUUAAUCAAAUCAUCCACAAUGAAAGCAAGUUUGGCAUCCUUGUCCCUGGGCUAGUGGUAAUGCAGAAUCCUCACCUGCAGUUUCUUACAGUUGAUGCUAUUAUUCAGGAAAGGCCUCAAGUACUGUCCUGUGGGGGUGAUAAAAACCCCACCCCAAACCCAAAAGGAUGCAUGGGCAGAAUUGGGAUAGAAAUUUUUACUUUUUCUGCCUGUGAACAAUAAUUCAUGCAGUUAGUGCUUUAUCAGAACUAAUUCAACCCAGUUUUUCAUUUAAACUACAGGAAAGCAAGUUCAAGUAGGUUUCUCUAACAUAAAGGAUAUCUUUUAACCCAGCUUUUGCUCCUGUUCACCCCACCCCCACCCAAUGCUAUUAAAUGGCUUGAAACAUGA